UCCUACGGGAGGCAGCAGUGAGGAAUAUUGGUCAAUGGAGGCAACUCUGAACCAGCCAUGCCGCGUGGAGGAUGACGGCCCUAUGGGUUGUAAACUUCUUUUGAAUAGGAAGAAACUUAUCUACGUGUAGAUAACUGACGGUACUAUUAGAAUAAGGAUCGGCUAACUCCGUGCCAGCAGCCGCGGUAAUACGGAGGAUCCAAGCGUUAUCCGGAUUCAUUGGGUUUAAAGGGUCCGUAGGCGGAUCUUUAAGUCAGUGGUGAAAGCCGACAGCUAAACUGUCGAACUGCCAUUGAUACUGGAGAUCUUGAGUACAAAUGAAGUAGGCGGAAUGAGUCAUGUAGCGGUGAAAUGCAUAGAUAUGACUCAGAACACCGAUUGCGAAGGCAGCUUACUAACAUGUAACUGACACUGAGGCACGAAAGCGUGGGUAGCGAACAGGAUUAGAUACCCUGGUAGUCCACGCCGUAAACGAUGCUCACUCGAUGUUAGCGAUAUACCGUUAGCGUCCAAGCUAAAGCGUUAAGUGAGCCACCUGGGGAGUACGCCGGCAACGGUGAAACUCAAAUGAAUUGACGGA
This 580-nucleotide ribosomal RNA is filed under the name uncultured bacterium. RNAcentral's name for it is "bacterial SSU rRNA". It matches the Rfam family "Bacterial small subunit ribosomal RNA", at positions 337 to 917 of the family's 1533-position model. The record is from RNAcentral.